Molecule: ribosomal RNA, 497 nt
Filed under: uncultured bacterium
Lineage: Bacteria
Description: partial 16S ribosomal RNA
Rfam family: Bacterial small subunit ribosomal RNA
Source: RNAcentral
GAUGAACGCUGGCGGCGUGCCUAAUACAUGCAAGUCGAGCGAACGGACGAGAAGCUUGCUUCUCUGAUGUUAGCGGCGGACGGGUGAGUAACACGUGGAUAACCUACCUAUAAGACUGGGAUAACUUCGGGAAACCGGAGCUAAUACCGGAUAAUAUUUUGAACCGCAUGGUUCAAAAGUGAAAGACGGUCUUGCUGUCACUUAUAGAUGGAUCCGCGCUGCAUUAGCUAGUUGGUAAGGUAACGGCUUACCAAGGCAACGAUGCAUAGCCGACCUGAGAGGGUGAUCGGCCACACUGGAACUGAGACACGGUCCAGACUCCUACGGGAGGCAGCAGUAGGGAAUCGUCCGCAAUGGGCGAAAGCCUGACGGAGCAACGCCGCGUGAGUGAUGAAGGUCUUCGGAUCGUAAAACUCUGUUAUUAGGGAAGAACAUAUGUGUAAGUAACUGUGCACAGCGUGACGGUACCUAAUCAGAAAGCCACGGCUAACUACGUG